CCUACGGGGGGCAUCAGUGGGGAAUAUUGGACAAUGGGGGCAACCCUGAUCCAGCCAUGCCGCGUGUGUGAAGAAGGCCCUCGGGUUGUAAAGCACUUUCAGUGAGGAAGAACGCCUGGUGGUUAAUACCCAUCAGGAAAGACAUCACUCACAGAAGAAGCACCGGCUAACUCCGUGCCAGCAGCCGCGGUAAUACGGAGGGUGCGAGCGUUAAUCGGAAUUACUGGGCGUAAAGCGCGCGUAGGUGGCUUGAUAAGCCGGUUGUGAAAGCCCCGGGCUCAACCUGGGAACGGCAUCCGGAACUGUCAAGCUAGAGUGCAGGAGAGGAAGGUAGAAUUCCCGGUGUAGCGGUGAAAUGCGUAGAGAUCGGGAGGAAUACCAGUGGCGAAGGCGGCCUUCUGGACUGAUACUGACACUGAGGUGCGAAAGCGUGGGUAGCAAACAGGAUUAGAUACCCCUGUAGUC
This 465-nucleotide ribosomal RNA is filed under the name Vreelandella stevensii. Its description in RNAcentral is "partial 16S ribosomal RNA". It matches the Rfam family "Bacterial small subunit ribosomal RNA", at positions 338 to 795 of the family's 1533-position model. The record is from RNAcentral. Lineage: Bacteria; Pseudomonadati; Pseudomonadota; Gammaproteobacteria; Oceanospirillales; Halomonadaceae.